UCGGGAAUAUUGCGCAAUGGAGGAAACUCUGACGCAGUGACGCCGCGUGCAGGAAGAAGGUUUUCGGAUUGUAAACUGCUUUAGACAGGGAAGAAAAAAAUGACAGUACCUGUAGAAUAAGCUCCGGCUAACUACGUGCCAGCAGCCGCGGUAAUACGUAGGGAGCGAGCGUUAUCCGGAUUUAUUGGGUGUAAAGGGUGCGUAGACGGAAUAACAAGUUAGUUGUGAAAUCCCUCGGCUUAACUGAGGAACUGCAACUAAAACUAUUAAUCUUGAGUGCUGGAGGGGAAAGCGGAAUUCCUAGUGUAGCGGUGAAAUGCGUAGAUAUUAGGAAGAACACCGGUGGCGAAGGCGGCUUUCUGGACAGUAACUGACGUUGAGGCACGAAAGUGUGGGGAGCAAACAGG
RNAcentral lists this ribosomal RNA (407 nucleotides) under uncultured bacterium. Its description in RNAcentral is "bacterial SSU rRNA". It matches the Rfam family "Bacterial small subunit ribosomal RNA", at positions 355 to 776 of the family's 1533-position model. The record is from RNAcentral.